AUGCCGCCGACGCAGGACGGCAGGAGCUUCCAAUCCGUCCCCGAGAUCGGCGAGGAGAUUGGUCGGACCGCUUCGGCGGCAUCCGCUGCUGCGCGUCCCGCUCCACCGGCGACCACUGCGCCGUCAAGUCGAAUGACCGAUCGCGCCUCGCCGACCUGGACUACGGCCUGGCCGGGCUCGAGCCCAAGCUGGCCUCCGCGGGAAACCCAGCGUCUUCCAGGUGCACGCGGUUACGAGGACGAGGCAUGGACGCACAUGGUGAUGGUCCGCCUUCGCCACGGCGCGCCCAUCCCGGAGCUGGAUGCCGCCGUUGUGGUCACGCUGCUCGCCGAGGCCCUCGAGAUCUUGCACCGCCGCAUCGCGCACCGUGACGUCAAACCGAACAAUGUGCUCCUCGACGCCUAG
Molecule: ribosomal RNA, 405 nt
Filed under: Triticum aestivum (bread wheat)
Lineage: Eukaryota; Viridiplantae; Streptophyta; Magnoliopsida; Poales; Poaceae
Description: partial small subunit ribosomal RNA
Source: RNAcentral